GUGCAGAGAGGCUGAGGAACAAGAAGAGAAAGUGACACCACCAUUACUUUACAUAAGCUGGAAACUUUCUCUUCUUUUUCCAGGUACUUCAGAAGUGGCUUUUUCCAGGAGUAAUUGGAGAAGACAGUUCUACCCCUUUCCCCACACUACCCUCCACCAAAACCAGACAGAUCUCUCUGUUUCAGGCAGCUCCUGCUUUCCUGUCAGGUGGGAGGAUGAGACUUAAGCAACAGCACCUCCAAAAGCAAUGAAACCUCGAGGAUGAGGAACUGGGAAGUGGGUGGGAACUCUUCCCAGCCAUCACAUGACUUUUAUUCAUCCUCCUCCUUGGGAAUGAGGUAAAUUUCCAUUUUCAGACAACGUGCUUUGCCUGGUAUCUACAAGAAACAAAUUCAGAAUGCCAUGAUUCAUUUAAAAAGCAUCUUUAUUUCACCUGCAAAAACUUGUGUUAUACCACAAAUCAGGGAAUGAUUGAAAGGUUGAACAGCUGUAAUUUUAGUUCAGUUGCUCUGUGAGGGAUGAUGUCCUUUACAGCUCUCUCCAUGGAGAUUCCGGGAAUUUUGUUAACAUUCCCAUCGUGUUCCAGCACUAAGAUUACAGUCAACAAACAGGGCACUGUUUGAAGUUGGUCACGGAAGAAGCUCCCAGCACCCUUCCAAGUGACACUUCCACCUCACCUGCCUGGAAAGGGAGGAAUCUCCCUGCUGCGUCCCAGAGCUCCUCCUGCUCACUAUGAUCUGGGAGGGGAAGGGAAAGGAAAGAGAGAGGGGAGGCAGGCGACCAAGAGGAAUAGGGAGACGAGGGAAAAUGCUGGCCUCAGAGUAUCAGGAGACAGCAGGGCAGCUCCUCUUCUAGGAAUGUGAGAGGAUCUCUGUGCUGAUGAGUCAGUCCAUUGGUAUUGAUUUCUGAGCGCAGCCCAAAAUAGACACUCAGGGAGAAGAGGAGCAAAACCUGGGUGAGUGUAUUUUGAUGCUUCCCUGCUAAAUUUUUCCAGUGGUGCCAAAGAAAAUCACAGCUGUCUCCUUCCAGUGUCAGAAGUUACUGGGCAUGAGGAAAAUGAAAGAGGAUGUCUCAGUUUUGAGGAAUAUUUAGGGAUUAGCACUUUGAUUA
This 1110-nucleotide long non-coding RNA is filed under the name Chloebia gouldiae (Gouldian finch). RNAcentral describes it as "Erythrura gouldiae (Gouldian finch) lncRNA (ENSEGOG00005003289.1)". Lineage: Eukaryota; Metazoa; Chordata; Aves; Passeriformes; Passeridae. The record is from RNAcentral.